This 253-nucleotide ribosomal RNA is filed under the name uncultured bacterium. Its description in RNAcentral is "partial 16S ribosomal RNA". It matches the Rfam family "Bacterial small subunit ribosomal RNA", at positions 524 to 776 of the family's 1533-position model. The record is from RNAcentral.
UACGUAGGGUGCGAGCGUUGUCCGGAAUUACUGGGCGUAAAGAGCUCGUAGGCGGUUUGUCGCGUCGGGAGUGAAAUCCACUGGCUUAACUGGUGGCUUGCUUUCGAUACGGGCAGACUGGAGGUAUGCAGGGGAGAACGGAAUUCCCAGUGUAGCGGUGAAAUGCGUAGAUAUUGGGAGGAACACCAGUGGCGAAGGCGGCUCACUGGACCGGUACUGACGCUGAUGCGCGAAAGCGUGGGGAGCAAACGGG